This 24-nucleotide microRNA is filed under the name Gossypium hirsutum (cotton). Its description in RNAcentral is "ghr-miR7507". The record is from miRBase by way of RNAcentral. Lineage: Eukaryota; Viridiplantae; Streptophyta; Magnoliopsida; Malvales; Malvaceae.
AAGGUAGUGAAGUAGGCAAUUGGG